RNAcentral lists this unclassified non-coding RNA (377 nucleotides) under uncultured Oscillospiraceae bacterium. Its description in RNAcentral is "contains 16S-23S intergenic spacer region". The record is from RNAcentral. Lineage: Bacteria; Bacillati; Bacillota; Clostridia; Eubacteriales; Oscillospiraceae.
UCCGAUUUAUCACCGGCAGUCUCGCUAGAGUGCUCAACUUAAUGUAGCAACUAACGACAAGGGUUGCGCUCGUUGCGGGACUUAACCCAACAUCUCACGACACGAGCUGACGACAACCAUGCACCACCUGUAGCAAUGUCUCCGAAGAGAGGAGUGUAUCUCUACACUUUUCAUUGUUAUGUCAAGCCUUGGUAAGGUUCUUCGCGUUGCUUCGAAUUAAACCACAUACUCCACUGCUUGUGCGGGCCCCCGUCAAUUCCUUUGAGUUUCAACCUUGCGGCCGUACUCCCCAGGUGGAAUACUUAUUGUGUUAACUGCGGCACAGAGGGAGUCGAUACCCCCUACACCUAGUAUUCAUCGUUUACAGCGUGGACUAC